AGUGGUAUCAAAAUGCGUAUUUCUCAUGGAAGCCAACAUAGUUUUAAAGAACCACUCCAAGUUAGGGCAAAGGGUUGUAAUAAGCAAUUGAAAUGAGGAAAAGAGAAGGCUGUCAAGAAGAGCAGGAAAUGUCAUGGUUGUGGGUUAACAGGGCAGUCGCACGACAAAAGAAAUUGUCCAAAGCUUCUUAACAUCUCUUCGCAAGAUGUUAGGUUGAACACCGACGACGACAACAUGUCCAACAAUGAUGACGAAUGAUGGGAAAACGCGAGGUUGACAAGAUGGCGAUGUGCGGAGAUAGAGAUGGAGGAAAUGGCAAGGCAAGGUUGACUGCCCUUGUAGACCGCUUGGAGAUGUUGAUUUUGUAAUGGGAUGUUCACUGC
Long non-coding RNA from Rhododendron vialii, 383 nucleotides. RefSeq lists it as uncharacterized. The transcript has 3 exons. The record is from RefSeq and is a predicted model, not a curated record. NCBI's taxonomy places the organism in Eukaryota, Viridiplantae, Streptophyta, Magnoliopsida, Ericales, Ericaceae.